UAUGUUGUAGUCUAGUUGGUUAGGAUACUAGGCUCUCACCCGAGAGACCUAGGUUCAAGUCCCGACAAUGAAA
Picea glauca (white spruce) is the source of this 73-nucleotide non-coding RNA. The record is from Rfam. Lineage: Eukaryota; Viridiplantae; Streptophyta; Pinopsida; Pinales; Pinaceae.